Molecule: ribosomal RNA, 542 nt
Filed under: uncultured bacterium
Lineage: Bacteria
Description: bacterial SSU rRNA
Rfam family: Bacterial small subunit ribosomal RNA
Source: RNAcentral
AGAGUUUGAUCAUGGCUCAGGAUGAACGCUGGCGGCGUGCCUAACACAUGCAAGUCGAACGAAGCGCUUUACUUUGAUUUCUUCGGGAUGAAGAGUUUUGUGACUGAGUGGCGGACGGGUGAGUAACGCGUGGGUAACCUGCCUCAUACAGGGGGAUAACAGUUAGAAAUGACUGCUAAUACCGCAUAAGACCACAGCUUCGCAUGGAGCAGUGGUAAAAACUCCGGUGGUAUGAGAUGGACCCGCGUCUGAUUAGCUAGUUGGUAAGGUAAGGGCUUACCAAGGCGACGAUCAGUAGCCGGCCUGAGAGGGUGGACGGCCACAUUGGGACUGAGACACGGCCCAAACUCCUACGGGAGGCAGCAGUGGGGAAUAUUGCACAAUGGGGGAAACCCUGAUGCAGCGACGCCGCGUGAGCGAAGAAGUAUUUCGGUAUGUAAAGCUCUAUCAGCAGGGAAGAAACUGACGGUACCUGACUAAGAAGCACCGGCUAAAUACGUGCCAGCAGCCGCGGUAAUACGUAUGGUGCAAGCGUUAUCCGG